CCCUCCUACCAAGGCUUGUCUUUGGUUUGCUGUCUUUGGAUACAUAAGAAUUGGAGGCAAAGAAAUGUGGAUUUGGAGAAAUCUGGGGCCAGCUUGCUCCCCGCAGGCUCAAGAUCAACCAUGCCACACAG
Molecule: small nucleolar RNA, 131 nt
Filed under: Castor canadensis (American beaver)
Lineage: Eukaryota; Metazoa; Chordata; Mammalia; Rodentia; Castoridae
Description: Small nucleolar RNA SNORA38 (ENSCCNG00000019919.1)
Rfam family: Small nucleolar RNA SNORA38
About the family: ACA38 is a member of the H/ACA class of snoRNA that guide the sites of modification of uridines to pseudouridines.
Source: Rfam by way of RNAcentral